This 70-nucleotide transfer RNA is filed under the name Solea solea (common sole). RNAcentral's name for it is "tRNA-Ile". It matches the Rfam family "tRNA". From Rfam's summary of the family: Transfer RNA (tRNA) molecules are approximately 80 nucleotides in length. Their secondary structure includes four short double-helical elements and three loops (D, anti-codon, and T loops). The record is from RNAcentral. Lineage: Eukaryota; Metazoa; Chordata; Actinopteri; Pleuronectiformes; Soleidae.
GGAGCUAUGCCUGAACUAAAGGGCCACUUUGAUAGAGUGAACCAUGGGGGUUAAAAUCCCCCUAACUCCU